AACCCCCUGAUCCUAUCUCAGAACUUUGGCCGGCUCAGAAUAGAAUCAGGGGGUACAAACUGCCCACUGGCAGAAAGGAUUAUAGCAAAUGCGUACCCUAUUGCAAUACAGCCCGGCCAAUAUG
Non-coding RNA from Kluyvera intermedia, 124 nucleotides. NCBI's taxonomy places the organism in Bacteria, Pseudomonadati, Pseudomonadota, Gammaproteobacteria, Enterobacterales, Enterobacteriaceae. The record is from Rfam.